GGAUUGUGGCUCAGUGGUAGAGCGCUCACCUACUGUGCAAGGCCCUGGGUUCGAUCCUCAGCACCA
RNAcentral lists this transfer RNA (66 nucleotides) under Marmota monax (woodchuck). RNAcentral describes it as "tRNA.Ser". Lineage: Eukaryota; Metazoa; Chordata; Mammalia; Rodentia; Sciuridae. The record is from RNAcentral.